UGGGGAAUAUUGGACAAUGGGGGCAACCCUGAUCCAGCAAUGCCGCGUGUGUGAAGAAGGCCUUCGGGUUGUAAAGCACUUUAGGAUGGGAAGAAGUUUUAUUGUUUAAGAGAUGAUAACGUUGACGGUACCAUCAGAAUAAGCACCGGCUAACUCUGUGCCAGCAGCCGCGGUAAUACAGAGGGUGCAAGCGUUAAUCGGAGUUACUGGGCGUAAAGGGCGCGUAGGUGGUUGAGUAAGUUGUUUGUGAAAUCCCCGGGCUUAACCUGGGAACUGCAAGCAAAACUGCUUAACUGGAGUACUGUAGAGGGUAGUGGAAUUUCCGGUGUAGCGGUGAAAUGCGUAGAGAUCGGAAGGAACACCAGUGGCGAAGGCGGCUACCUGGACAGAUACUGACACUGAGGCGCGAGAGCGUGGGGAGCAAACAGG
RNAcentral lists this ribosomal RNA (429 nucleotides) under uncultured bacterium. RNAcentral describes it as "bacterial SSU rRNA". It matches the Rfam family "Bacterial small subunit ribosomal RNA", at positions 355 to 776 of the family's 1533-position model. The record is from RNAcentral.